GACGUAGGGCGCGAGCGUUGUCCGGAUUUAUUGGGCGUAAAGCGCGUGUAGGCGGCUUUGCAAGUCGGGUGUGAAAGCCCUCAGCUCAACUGAGGAAGUGCGCCCGAAACUGCAGAGCUUGAGUGCCGGAGAGGGUGGCGGAAUUCCCCAAGUAGAGGUGAAAUUCGUAGAUAUGGGGAGGAACACCGGUGGCGAAGGCGGCCACCUGGACGGUAACUGACGCUGAGACGCGAAAGCGUGGGGAGCAAACAGG
RNAcentral lists this ribosomal RNA (253 nucleotides) under uncultured bacterium. RNAcentral describes it as "partial 16S ribosomal RNA". It matches the Rfam family "Bacterial small subunit ribosomal RNA", at positions 524 to 776 of the family's 1533-position model. The record is from RNAcentral.